GUGAGGAAUAUUGGUCAAUGGGCGGGAGCCUGAACCAGCCAAGUCGCGUGAAGGAAGAAGGAGCUAUGGUUCGUAAACUUCUUUUGCAGGGGAAUAAAGUGCAGGACGUGUCCUGUUUUGUAUGUACCCUGAGAAUAAGGAUCGGCUAACUCCGUGCCAGCAGCCGCGGUAAUACGGAGGAUCCGAGCGUUAUCCGGAUUUAUUGGGUGUAAAGGGUGCGUAGGUGGUAUGAUAAGUUAGCGGUGAAAGUUUGCAGCUUAACUGUAAAAAUGCCGUUGAAACUGUCGGACUUGAGUGUAAAUGAGGUAGGCGGAAUGCGUGGUGUAGCGGUGAAAUGCAUAGAUAUCACGCAGAACUCCGAUUGCGCAGGCAGCUUACUUAGCUACAACUGACACUGAAGCACGAAAGCGUGGGGAUCAAACAGGAUUAGAAUCCCUUGUAGUCC
Molecule: ribosomal RNA, 445 nt
Filed under: uncultured bacterium
Lineage: Bacteria
Description: partial 16S ribosomal RNA
Rfam family: Bacterial small subunit ribosomal RNA
Source: RNAcentral